UGCAGUCGAACGAACUCUGGUAAUGAUUGGUGCUUGCAUCAUGAAUUACAUUUGAGUGAGUGGCGAACUGGUGAGUAACACGUGGGAAACCUGCCCAGAAGCGGGGGAUAACACCUGGAAACAGAUGCUAAUACCGCAUAACAACUUGGACCGCAUGGUCCGAGUUUGAAAGAUGGCUUCGGCUAUCACUUUUGGAUGGUCCCGCGGCGUAUUAGCUAGAUGGUGAGGUAACGGCUCACCAUGGCAAUGAUACGUAGCCGACCUGAGAGGGUAAUCGGCCACAUUGGGACUGAGACACGGCCCAAACUCCUACGGGAGGCAGCAGUAGGGAAUCUUCCACAAUGGACGAAAGUCUGAUGGAGCAACGCCGCGUGAGUGAAGAAGGGUUUCGGCUCGUAAAACUCUGUUGUUAAAGAAGAACAUAUCUGAGAGUAACUGUUCAGGUAUUGACGGUAUUUAACCAGAAAGCCACGGCUAACUACGUGCCAGCAGCCGCGGUAAUACGUAGGUGGCAAGCGUUGUCCGGAUUUAUUGGGCGUAAAGCGAGCGCAGGCGGUUUUUUAAGUCUGAUGUGAAAGCCUUCGGCUCAACCGAAGAAGUGCAUCGGAAACUGGGAAACUUGAGUGCAGAAGAGGACAGUGGAACUCCAUGUGUAGCGGUGAAAUGCGUAGAUAUAUGGAAGAACACCAGUGGCGAAGGCGGCUGUCUGGUCUGUAACUGACGCUGAGGCUCGAAAGUAUGGGUAGCAAACAGGAUUAGAUACCCUGGUAGUCCAUACCGUAAACGAUGAAUGCUAAGUGUUGGGAGGGUUUCCGCCCUUCAGUGCUGCAGCUAACGCAUUAAGCAUUCCGCCUGGGGAGUACGGCCGCAAGGCUGAAACUCAAAGGAAUUGACGGGGGCCCGCACAAGCGGUGGAGCAUGUGGUUUAAUUCGAAGCUACGCGAAGAACCUUACCAGGUCUUGACAUACUAUGCAAAUCUAAAAGAUUAGACGUUCCCUUCGGGGACAUGGAUACAGGUGGUGCAUGGUUGUCGUCAGCUC
Molecule: ribosomal RNA, 1041 nt
Filed under: Lactiplantibacillus sp. NCCP-962
Lineage: Bacteria; Bacillati; Bacillota; Bacilli; Lactobacillales; Lactobacillaceae
Description: bacterial SSU rRNA
Rfam family: Bacterial small subunit ribosomal RNA
Source: RNAcentral